RNAcentral lists this ribosomal RNA (63 nucleotides) under Trichoderma harzianum. Its description in RNAcentral is "partial 28S ribosomal RNA". It matches the Rfam family "Eukaryotic large subunit ribosomal RNA", at positions 1 to 64 of the family's 3401-position model. Lineage: Eukaryota; Fungi; Ascomycota; Sordariomycetes; Hypocreales; Hypocreaceae. The record is from RNAcentral.
GACCUCGGAUCAGGUAGGAAUACCCGCUGAACUUAAGCAUAUCAAUAAGCGGAGGAAAAAAAA